Molecule: ribosomal RNA, 494 nt
Filed under: uncultured bacterium
Lineage: Bacteria
Description: partial 16S ribosomal RNA
Rfam family: Bacterial small subunit ribosomal RNA
Source: RNAcentral
GACGAACGCUGGCGGCGUGCUUAACACAUGCAAGUCGAACGGAAAGGCCUGCUUUCCCUUGUGGAUUGCGGGUACUCGAGUGGCGAACGGGUGAGUAACACGUGAGUGAUCUGCCCCCAACUUGGGUAUAAGCCUGGGAAACUGGGUCUAAUUCCCGAUAGGACUGCAGGGUGGUGCCUGUGGUGGAAAACGAUUUUCUAGUGGUUGGGGAUGAGCUCGCGGCCUAUCAGCUUGUUGGUGGGGUAAUGGCCUACCAAGGCGGCGACGGGUAGCCGGCCUGGGAGGGUGGACGGCCACAUUGGGACUGAGAUACGGCCCAGACUCCUACGGGAGGCAGCAGUGGGGAAUAUUGCACAAUGGGCGGAAGCCUGAUGCAGCGACGCCGCGUGGGGGAUGACGGCCUUCGGGUUGUAAACUCCUUUCGACCGCGAGGAAGCCACCUGGUUGGAAGGGUGGUGACGGUAGUGGUAGAUGAAGCACCGGCUAACUACGUG